RNAcentral lists this transfer RNA (77 nucleotides) under Desulfuromonas sp. RNAcentral's name for it is "tRNA-Arg". It matches the Rfam family "tRNA". Rfam says of the family: Transfer RNA (tRNA) molecules are approximately 80 nucleotides in length. Their secondary structure includes four short double-helical elements and three loops (D, anti-codon, and T loops). The record is from RNAcentral. Lineage: Bacteria; Pseudomonadati; Thermodesulfobacteriota; Desulfuromonadia; Desulfuromonadales; Desulfuromonadaceae.
GCCCCCGUAGCUCAGCAGGAUAGAGCAACCGCCUCCUAAGCGGUAGGUCACAGGUUCGACUCCUGUCGGGGGCGCCA